CCUACGGGAGGCAGCAGUCGAGAAUCUUGCACAAUGGGGGAAACCCUGAUGCUGCGACGCCGCGUGAAGGAAGGAGUAUUUCCGUAUGUAAACUUCUAUCAACAGGGAAGAAAAUUACGGUAACUGAAUAACAAGCCGCAGCUACCUCCGAGCCAGCAGCCGCGGUAAUACGUAGGGGGCAAGCGUUAUCCGGAUUUACUGGGUGUAAAGGGAGCGUAGGCGGUUUAGCAAGUCAGAAGUGAAAGCCCGGGGCUCAACUCCGGGACUGCUCUUGAAACUGUUGGACUAGAGUGCAGGAGAGGUAAGUGGAAUUCCUAGUGUAGCGGUGAAAUGCGUAGAUAUUAGGAGGAACACCAGUGGCGAAGGCGGGUUACUGGACUGUAAAUGACGCUGAGGCUCGAAGGCGAGGGGAGCGAACAGGAUUAGAUACCCCAGUAGUC
Molecule: ribosomal RNA, 440 nt
Filed under: uncultured bacterium
Lineage: Bacteria
Description: partial 16S ribosomal RNA
Rfam family: Bacterial small subunit ribosomal RNA
Source: RNAcentral